RNAcentral lists this ribosomal RNA (440 nucleotides) under uncultured bacterium. RNAcentral's name for it is "partial 16S ribosomal RNA". It matches the Rfam family "Bacterial small subunit ribosomal RNA", at positions 338 to 795 of the family's 1533-position model. The record is from RNAcentral.
CCUACGGGAGGCAGCAGUGGGGAAUAUUGCACAAUGGGGGAAACCCUGAUGCAGCGACGCCGCGUGAGUGAAGAAGUAAUUCGUUACGUAAAGCUCUAUCAGCAGGGAAGAAAAUGACGGUACCUGAGGAAGAAGCCCCGGCUAACUACGUGCCAGCAGCCGCGGUAAUACGUAGGGGGCAAGCGUUAUCCGGAUUUACUGGGUGUAAAGGGGGCGUAGACGGCAGUGCAAGUCUGGAGUGAAAGGCCGGGGCUCAACCCCCGGACUGCUCUGGAAACUGUACGGCUGGAGUGCAGGAGAGGUAAGUGGAAUUCCUGGUGUAGCGGUGAAAUGCGUAGAUAUCAGGAGGAACACCAGUGGCGAAGGCGGCUUACUGGACUGCAACUGACGUUGAGGCUCGAAAGCGUGGGGAGCAAACAGGAUUAGAUACCCUGGUAGUC